RNAcentral lists this transfer RNA (87 nucleotides) under Stutzerimonas stutzeri. RNAcentral describes it as "tRNA-Leu". It matches the Rfam family "tRNA". Rfam says of the family: Transfer RNA (tRNA) molecules are approximately 80 nucleotides in length. Their secondary structure includes four short double-helical elements and three loops (D, anti-codon, and T loops). Further hydrogen bonds mediate the characteristic L-shaped molecular structure. tRNAs have two regions of fundamental functional importance: the anti-codon, which is responsible for specific mRNA codon recognition, and the 3' end, to which the tRNAs corresponding amino acid is attached (by aminoacyl-tRNA synthetases). tRNAs cope with the degeneracy of the genetic code in two manners: having more than one tRNA (with a specific anti-codon) for a particular amino acid; and 'wobble' base-pairing, i.e. permitting non-standard base-pairing at the 3rd anti-codon position. Lineage: Bacteria; Pseudomonadati; Pseudomonadota; Gammaproteobacteria; Pseudomonadales; Pseudomonadaceae. The record is from RNAcentral. RNAcentral also lists the same sequence under 3 other names.
GCCCAGGUGGCGGAAUUGGUAGACGCGCUGGUUUCAGGUAUCAGUGAUAGCAAUAUCGUGGAAGUUCGAGUCUUCUCCUGGGCACCA